Long non-coding RNA from Etheostoma spectabile (orangethroat darter), 341 nucleotides. RefSeq lists it as uncharacterized. The record is from RefSeq and is a predicted model, not a curated record. NCBI's taxonomy places the organism in Eukaryota, Metazoa, Chordata, Actinopteri, Perciformes, Percidae. The transcript is spliced from 2 exons.
UCAAGCAUCUGAGAAUUACUCACAAGAACAAUUUUCUUAUUUAAGAAUAUUCUCAGAUAAAUUCACAUUAAAUGGUGAGACUCCUAAGAGGACUUUACAUUCAACACGUUUGACAAUGAAUAUUUUUCAAAAGAAUACAUAUGAUAUAAACAUUGGAAAUGAAAGAAAAACAAGUUUUCCAUUGUGUCUUAAUUAGAAAUUUUAAACCGGUGUGUUGUUAACUGACCUGCCUAUUAGAGAUGUUCCGUUACCAGUAUCGGUAUCGCCUCUGAUACUGCCUAAAACGCUUGUGUCAGGAAGUACUGGUGUUUAUGCACCAAUCUGAUACCAUGUAAUAAAGC